This 662-nucleotide long non-coding RNA is filed under the name Dromaius novaehollandiae (emu). Its description in RNAcentral is "lncRNA (ENSDNVG00000013960.1)". The record is from RNAcentral. Lineage: Eukaryota; Metazoa; Chordata; Aves; Casuariiformes; Dromaiidae.
UACAGCAACACCUACAUCAUGUUUUCUAACUCUUUUCUGGAUUCCAGCUCUCAGUUCUGAGGUUGACAGAUCCCUGGAUUACAUGAACUGUCAAUUUGUAAGCCUGCAUGCUUGGAGACUAUGGAACUGGUGCAAAUUUCCCCCUCUGCCAUUUAAAUCUCCUACUGAGAAAAAUGAAAUCUGUCUACCAAACAACCUCAAGCCUGCGUUGUAAGGAUACUAUAGGAGGGGAAAAUGUGGAAAACUACUUGGUGUGCGUCUGUAAGGCUUGGGAUUGAGGCUCUUGUGCCUCAAACACAGCCAUAAUUGUAAGUUCUGAGUAUGUAUAUUCUAUUGCUACAUCUUACCACGUGUGAAUUUUGUGUUAAAAAGGGCUUUAAACUUGAUCUUUAUUUUAUUAUGCUAAUUUUUUGUUAAUUCUUUAGUGUCUUUCACACAAAAUGAUUGUUUUUUACUGUCAGCCUUAACCCCAUUUUAACUCAAGUUUUCAUCCAAAGGGAAAAGUUUUAUAUUUUAUGACUUUCUCUCUUCAUUUGUGCAGAGUUAAAUUUUUGUUAUGCAUUUAUUAAUAGUAAUUGCUUCUGGAAACUGAUUGUUUUGUUAGUAAUAUUUUUGUAUAUUUUAAGGUUGGAAAUAUCAUAAUAAAAAGGAAAAGAAAAACA